This is a long non-coding RNA of Triticum aestivum (bread wheat), 1466 nucleotides long. RefSeq lists it as uncharacterized. The record is from RefSeq and is a predicted model, not a curated record. Lineage: Eukaryota; Viridiplantae; Streptophyta; Magnoliopsida; Poales; Poaceae. The transcript is spliced from 2 exons.
GUCUUCACCGUGUACAUAUGUCUCUUGCGGGUGUGCUAUUUGUUCCAGUGGAAGAUAGGUUCCAGUUUCUAUAAAUGGUCCUCUGCAUGUGUAUAUGUUCUCUGUACUUGAACCAAAUUGACGUACUAGUUUUACUGAAAACCUAUACUAGCUGGUAUCAGUCUAUAGCAAGAGAUGCAUGCAAUUUGUUUUAUAUAUGAAAAAUGGUGAUGAUGAGUACAUGCUGCUGUUUGACUAGUUCACUGCCUGCUGGUCCAGAUUAUAUGGUCGUGAAGCUCGGCGUUGACAAGAGCAUCACUCUGUAGCUGUGCAUCCUUCUCUAACAAGCAUUCAAAGCACUACCAUGCCGGGCUGUGGGUACUGCCUCAUCGACCAAGGAUCUACGGCGACAGCGGCACCAGCGACCCCAUGGAGGCGGCACCGAAACCCUGGUUGCUACUGCUCUCCCCUGAGUCCCCUCCUCAUCUCCUCCCUCACGCGGUGUCUUCUCUCUCUUUCUCUCUCGCUCUCUCAAGCUAAUUUUAAUCUGACUCCAUCUUGGGGUGCUACUGUGCGUGCAAUACAUGCUCUGCUUGGUCUUCUUUUCUUAGACAUCCCUCGAUCAGUUAAGUUGGACAAGCAAAAAAUCUUACAUAUCUCAGCUUUGUCAAUUAAGCUCAUUUGAUUGAUGUCUUUAUCUUCACAAGUCUUGCUGAACCUUGAGAUAGGCAAAAACAUUCAGUUCAGAGCCUGAUAGUUUGUUGCUAUAAUAAUAAUACCUACACUUCUACAUUACCAAUUGCCGUCUGGAGAUUCAAAUUCAGAUAUGAAAACUAUAUAGGAUUUUCAAUUCUCUGGGAAUGUUGCUACAUAUUCUUUUACAUGUUUCUCUCUGAGGCUAAUUUUAAUCUCACAUCAUCCUGGGUGGUACUGUGUGUGUUGUAGAUGCUCUGUUUCAUCUUCUUUUCUCAAACCUCCACGAGUCAAAUUCGACCGGGAAAAAGAAACACCUGCGUACAUAUCACCGGGUAGUGGCCCGACAAAAUGUUACAUAUAUCAGUUUUGUCAUUUAAGCCCAUUUGAUGUCAUCUUCAUAACUCUGUCUAUCUCCAGCUAUGGUGUGGAAUAUUAACUGGGGAUUUUGAAACGCAGAUGUUCAAGCUGGAGGAUGUGGCGAUGGAAUAUGGAUCAAUGAGAUGAAGAAAGGUGUUGAUGUCAAGUACGAGAAUGAUGGAAGGAUCUUGUGGUUAUCUAGUUGCCCACCAGGAGUCAAUGUAGAUGAUGUGCCUCUAGGGCAAAUUCUAGAAAACAAAGCGACUCAUUUUUGCUCUCAAACAAUGAACAUAUUUUUCCCUAUUUAAUAAGUUAAAUUAGUUUAUGGGAAAUUUAGAUGUGAAAAUUAAUGAAUGUGUGUUAUUAUUGUUUGGUUUUGGUUUAGUAUUGUUGGACGACAUGCACGUUAUUGUAAUGAUUUGGGUUAACUUGAU